This 344-nucleotide long non-coding RNA is filed under the name Marmota monax (woodchuck). Lineage: Eukaryota; Metazoa; Chordata; Mammalia; Rodentia; Sciuridae. The record is from RNAcentral.
AUUCAUUUAGCCAUCCUAAGCUCUUGUGAUAGGAAGCAUUAAAACUAAUAAGUGAACUAAUUACAUAAAACUAAAUAUUGUGUCAGUUAUGUGUAUGGGGAGUAGCAAUAGGUUCAUCAGAGUUCUAAAAAUGUGAGCAUCAAAUAAGGCUUUUCCUUUAGCCACAGGAACCCGAGCAUGUGAGUUUCUAAUGGGAUUAUAUGGGGAAAAUAUUAGAUGUUUCCAUGAAGUAAAUUAACAACUUCUGAUUCUUUGUGAUAUUUUUAUUUUCCAUUGACUCAUUGAUUUCUACCCAUAUUACUAAUCAUUGUCAUUUAAAUUUUCCCUAAGAUCUUCCUAAAAUU